AGGGGCUAAUGGUGUUGCUGAAAUUGAAGCUCUCAUGCCUCACUCUGGCUACUGUGUAGUGGCUGAAAUAUAUCUGCCCCUGUUAGACAGAAGAAGUCAAAGAAGUAAAGAGAGGUGUGUGGGAACCCCAUGACUGAUUAUGGAGUGCUCCGCAGUAUGGAAAUCAAAAGCUCUCUGAGGAUGGGAAGGAUCAUGUUUAAGAAUUUUUUGAAAGUCUUUUCCAUGUUUUCUUUAAGCAAUGUUCACUGUUACAUUUCAGGCACUUAUUUUGUUUUUCCAUUGUUUCUUUCUUAAUAUUUCACUUGUGAACAAAAUUUGACUGACACCCUUCAAAAAUUAGAAUUUAAAGAAGGUAAAGAAUAAAGGGCUCUGUGAAAUACAGAAACUUAUUUCUGAUUGUAACAUCCUGAACAAUGAUCUUCAUUCUCCUAAAACAGCAAAACAAAAUCUAAGAACCAAAGAAUAGUAGGCAUUCAAUAAAAGUAUUGAAUGAACUUUUUCAAAAUAGAAUUACAGGCUGAGAGACAAACCUUAAGAAUCAUUUUUCACUCUGUUGAGUCAGUUAAUUUGACAUAGAUAUUCCAAUUUAACAUUUUUAUACGCAUGUUUAUCUAUGCAUUUCUAUUUGAUAUAAUCAUACUUUUCCUAUAUUUAUUUUCUAUUAUGAAAUAUUUCUACUUAAUGACCAAAAUUUUGUUUUAAGUCCUAUUCUGUAUACAUAAGAACAGUUUUUUGAAAAAAAAAUACUCAUGAUCUCUGGAUUAAUAUCUAGAUUAUUAACAAUAACAUCUAAACAUCAAGAGAGGCCCACUCAAUGUAAUUUCCCCUAAUUAACAUGUAAUUACAUUAAGAUUUUCUUUUUUGUUUUGGUUUGGUUUUAAUAGUCUUCAAAGAAUAUAUCUUUAUUCCCAAAGUUAAGUGUAAUAUUUCUCAAAAAGAAAAAGAAAAUUUACCUCCCCAUUUGGACCACAAUAACAGCUCAACCCUCCUGGCAAAGGGUGUCUUGCUGAAAACCCCUUCAUCCUUGCUGGUGGAGGAUCUUAUGAAUAAAGGUGUAAUUGGGACUCACUGGAGUCCCUGGAGAGAACUUGGCUUGAAUCUAAGGCAUACAGAUGGUGGUCAUUUUGUUUGGGAUACUUUUGGAGAUUAUAGGGAUAAUCAGAGUCCUCCAACCACACACCCCCACACACACCUCUAAAGACCAGUGGCCUAAAGCUCAAUAAAGUCAUUUUCACUCGGGGCUAAGUUCUUAUAUAUGUUUAAGGUUGUCUACCUUGUGAGGUGUGGAUCAGAGAACACUUGAAUAAUUUCUCAUAAAAAAUUGUGCCAAAUGUGAUUGUAAAACAAUAUAACUAGUACUCCUGAUUGUAUACAAUUAGUCACAAUAAUAAAUGGAUUUUCAAUUAUUCAGAAAUGUAUGGGGUGGGAUAGAAGAAAAAGAGUUAGAGAAUUGAUUUCAUUGCUUUUCCAUAUGCCCAGGAGCAUAGACUUAGAGAUUGAAAAAAAGAAUUUUAUGUUUUUGAAUUGUGGAUUUUAUUUUUAUAUUUAGCUUAUUAUUUGGCUAUUAUUUUUGCCUUUUAUCUUUCUUAGGGAGGGGGAAAAAUAGGAGCAAUGGGGUGGGUGUGGAGUAGGGAUCAUUUGUGGCCAACAGCAUUUAAGAAGGCUGACUUUUGGGAAAAAAAAU
Molecule: long non-coding RNA, 1684 nt
Filed under: Marmota monax (woodchuck)
Lineage: Eukaryota; Metazoa; Chordata; Mammalia; Rodentia; Sciuridae
Source: RNAcentral